GACAAACGCUGGCGGCGUGCCUAACACAUGCAAGUCGAACGCCCUCGCUUCGGUGAGGGAGUGGCGGACGGGUGAGUAAUGCGUGGAUACCUACCCCCAAGUGAGGAAUACCGGCGAGAAAUCGCCGACAAUACCGCAUAGGUUUCUUUCGGGAAACAAAGUUGCUCGCAAGAGUGACGCUUGAGGAUGGGUCUGCGUCGGAUUAGCUGGUUGGUGGGGUAAUGGCCUACCAAAGCGACGAUCCGUAGCUGGUCUGAGAGGAUGAUCAGCCACACUG
This 277-nucleotide ribosomal RNA is filed under the name uncultured bacterium. Its description in RNAcentral is "partial 16S ribosomal RNA". It matches the Rfam family "Bacterial small subunit ribosomal RNA", at positions 28 to 315 of the family's 1533-position model. The record is from RNAcentral.